This 84-nucleotide transfer RNA is filed under the name Scleroderma citrinum Foug A. It matches the Rfam family "tRNA". Rfam says of the family: Transfer RNA (tRNA) molecules are approximately 80 nucleotides in length. Their secondary structure includes four short double-helical elements and three loops (D, anti-codon, and T loops). Further hydrogen bonds mediate the characteristic L-shaped molecular structure. tRNAs have two regions of fundamental functional importance: the anti-codon, which is responsible for specific mRNA codon recognition, and the 3' end, to which the tRNAs corresponding amino acid is attached (by aminoacyl-tRNA synthetases). tRNAs cope with the degeneracy of the genetic code in two manners: having more than one tRNA (with a specific anti-codon) for a particular amino acid; and 'wobble' base-pairing, i.e. permitting non-standard base-pairing at the 3rd anti-codon position. Lineage: Eukaryota; Fungi; Basidiomycota; Agaricomycetes; Boletales; Sclerodermataceae. The record is from Rfam by way of RNAcentral.
UGCCCCAUGGCUGAGUUGGUUACAGCGUCCGACUGUUACUCCAAUGACAUCGGAAGGUCGUGAGUUCGAGCCUCACUGGGGCAG